Acanthopagrus latus (yellowfin seabream) is the source of this 890-nucleotide long non-coding RNA. RefSeq lists it as uncharacterized. The record is from RefSeq and is a predicted model, not a curated record. The transcript is spliced from 6 exons. Lineage: Eukaryota; Metazoa; Chordata; Actinopteri; Spariformes; Sparidae.
GGCUCAGUGACUCUCUGGUGACAUUAGGGUAAACCACAUAAGUCCCGCCCAUAGAUUUUCUGAGCAAUCGCAGGAGGCGCGCGCCAAAAGGGGCGGUCUCAGCGCGUUUCCCGCGCGAAGUUACUGCUUUUCCCUCCAAUUUUUUUAGAUCCCUAUAUAUGUUGCUGAUGUACUGGCAUUCUGUUUGGGACUGCUCUUCUCGGAGGACGCAAACACGGUGAUGGAUGGUUGACGGGACGAAUCACCGAGACGAACAAGACGAGCCAAACAAUGGAGAAGGGCCGCCACAGGAGCCUGAAGGGAAAGUGUGAGACUCCUGGUCCAACAAGGUGAUGGAUGGUUGACGGGACGAAUCACCGAGACGAACAAGACGAGCCAAACAAUGGAGAAGGGCCGCCACAGGAGCCUGAAGGGAAAGUGUGAGACUCCUGGUCCAACAAGGUGAUGGAUGGUUGACGGGACGAAUCACCGAGACGAACAAGACGAGCCAAACAAUGGAGAAGGGCCGCCACAGGAGCCUGAAGGGAAAGUGUGAGACUCCUGGUCCAACAAGGUGAUGGAUGGUUGACGGGACGAAUCACCGAGAUGAACAAGAAGAGCCAAACAAUGGAGAAGGGCCGCCACAGGAGCCUGAAGGGAAAGUGUGAGACUCCUGGUCCAACAAGGUGAUGGACGAGCAGCCAAGACGAACAGGACAAGCCAAACCCUGGAGACGAGCCACAACAGGAGCCUGAAGCAGCAGGAAAACUGAGGAUCUGAUUAUCUGUCCUCUGAUGACAACUCCUUCAUGUCAUGCAGUUGUUGACUACAGUUUCACCUGCUCAGAGACAGUGAGCGCUGUUGUCUUUACUGGCUGUUUUCAUAAUAAACCCUUUUUUUUUUUAAUCAUA